CAGCGGCCGCGGGAAUACGGAGGGUGCAAGCGUUAAUCGGAAUUACUGGGCGUAAAGCGCACGCAGGCGGUCUGACAAGUCAGAUGUGAAAUCCCCGGGCUUAACCUGGGAACUGCAUUUGAAACUGUCAGGCUGGAGUCUUGUAGAGGGGGGUGGAAUUCCAGGUGUAGCGGUGAAAUGCGUAGAGAUCUGGAGGAAUACCGGUGGCGAAGGCGGCCCCCUGGACAAAGACUGACGCUCAGGUGCGAAAGCGUGGGGAGCAAACAGGAUUAGAUACCCCUGUAGUCCCUGUCUCUUAUAC
Molecule: ribosomal RNA, 301 nt
Filed under: uncultured bacterium
Lineage: Bacteria
Description: partial 16S ribosomal RNA
Rfam family: Bacterial small subunit ribosomal RNA
Source: RNAcentral